UAUCCGGAGAAGACUAACAAGGAUUCCCCUAGUAACUGCGAGUGAAGCGGGAAAAGCUCAAAUUUAAAAUCUGGCUUAGCUUCGCCGCCCGAGUUGUAAUCUAGAGAAGCAUUAUCAGCGCUCGCGGCGUGUACAAGUGUCCUGGAAUGGACCAUCAUAGAGGGUGACAAUCCCGUCUUUGACACGGCUGCCUUUAGUGCUAUUGAUGUGCUCUCAACGAGUCGAGUUGUUUGGGAAUGCAGCUCUAAAUGGGUGGUAAGUUCCAUCUAAAGYUAAAUAUUGGCGAGAGACCGAUAGCGAACAAGUACCGUGAGGGAAAGAUGAAAAGAACUUUGGAAAGAGAGUUAAACAGUACGUGAAAUUGCUGAAAGGGAAACGCUUGAAGUCGGUCGCGUUGGCUGGGUAAAUUCGAGAAAUCAACCUUGCUUUCUUGAAAGCUUGGCUUAUUUCCCAGCUGACGGGCCAGCAUCAGUUUUGACCGGUGGAUAAAGGCCAAGGGAAUGUGGCACCUCUGGGUGUGUUAUAGCCCUCGGUCAUAUACAUCGGUUGGGACUGAGGAACUCAGCACUUGUUGCUUAGGAUGCUGGCAUAAAGGCUUUAAGCGACCCGUCUUGAAACACGGACCAAGGAGUCUAACAUGCCCGCGAGUGUUUGGGUGGAAAACCCGAGCGCGCAAUGAAAGUGAAAGUUGAGAUCCCUGUCAUGGGGAGCAUCAAUGCCUGGACCAGAGCUUUUGUGAUGGAUCCACGGUAGAGCGUGUAUGUUGGGACCCGAAAGAUGGUGAACUAUGCCUGAAUAGGGUGAAGCCAGAGGAAACUCUGGUGGAGGCUUGUAGCGAUUCUGACGUGCAAAUCGAUCGUCAAAUUUGGGUAUAGGGGCGAAAG
This 884-nucleotide ribosomal RNA is filed under the name Termitomyces intermedius. Its description in RNAcentral is "partial large subunit ribosomal RNA". Lineage: Eukaryota; Fungi; Basidiomycota; Agaricomycetes; Agaricales; Lyophyllaceae. The record is from RNAcentral.